GAUGAACGCUGGCGGCGUGCCUAAUACAUGCAAGUCGAGCGAACAGACGAGGAGCUUGCUCCUCUGACGUUAGCGGCGGACGGGUGAGUAACACGUGGAUAACCUACCUAUAAGACUGGGAUAACUUCGGGAAACCGGAGCUAAUACCGGAUAAUAUAUUGAACCGCAUGGUUCAAUAGUGAAAGACGGUUUUGCUGUCACUUAUAGAUGGAUUCGCGCCGCAUUAGCUAGUUGGUAAGGUAACGGCCUACCAAGGCAACGAUGCGUAGCCGACCUGAGAGGGUGAUCGGCCACACUGGAACUGAGACACGGUCCAGACUCCUACGGGAGGCAGCAGUAGGGAAUCUUCCGCAAUGGGCGAAAGCCUGACGGAGCAACGCCGCGUGAGUGAUGAAGGUCUUCGGAUCGUAAAACUCUGUUAUUAGGGAAGAACAAAUGUGGAAGUAACUAUGCACGUCUUGACGGUACCUAAUCAGAAAGCCACGGCUAACUACGUG
Molecule: ribosomal RNA, 497 nt
Filed under: uncultured bacterium
Lineage: Bacteria
Description: partial 16S ribosomal RNA
Rfam family: Bacterial small subunit ribosomal RNA
Source: RNAcentral